Molecule: ribosomal RNA, 277 nt
Filed under: uncultured bacterium
Lineage: Bacteria
Description: partial 16S ribosomal RNA
Rfam family: Bacterial small subunit ribosomal RNA
Source: RNAcentral
GACGAACGCUGGCGGCGUGCUUAACACAUGCAAGUCGAGCGGUAAGGCCCUUUCGGGGGUACACGAGCGGCGAACGGGUGAGUAACACGUGGGUGACCUGCCCUUAGCUCUGGGAUAAGCCUGGGAACUGGGUCUAAUACCGGAUAUGACUCCAUGACGCAUGUUGUGGGGUGGAAAGCCUUGUGCGGCUAGGGAUGGGCCUGCGGCCUAUCAGCUUGUUGGUGGGGUGAUGGCCUACCAAGGCGACGACGGGUAGCCGGCCUGAGAGGGCGACCGG